This 8247-nucleotide long non-coding RNA is filed under the name Sorghum bicolor (sorghum). RNAcentral describes it as "long non-coding RNA (SBIC_LNC010479)". The record is from RNAcentral. Lineage: Eukaryota; Viridiplantae; Streptophyta; Magnoliopsida; Poales; Poaceae.
AACUCUGCUUCGGGGCAAGGCUCCACCGACCUAAAGGAUCAAUCUAAACCAUACAAUCUAUGUCGGUUUGAUCCAAUGGCCCACGUUCACUUGAGGGGACUAUAAAACCAGACCCCCUGGCCCCUGGAGGAGAGAGGAGAAAUCAUUAUUCAGAGGUAGCCAUCAAAGUUAGGGUUUAGAGCUUCUCUCCCACAGAGAAUUAGAAUUAGCUACUCCCUAAUCCUUCAAGUUUAGAGGUUUGAUUAGAUAGCAAUUAGAGAAGUAGAGCACUACGCUCUGGAUUCGGAUCUUCGGUAAUAAAGAUUGGUAUUAUUCAUAUCUUUCUCUAAUUCUAUUGUUCUAAUUGCAUUAUGUCUCUAAUUAUUAUGUUCUUAGUUUGCUCUAGUUCUAUAUUUGAUAUAGUUCUAAUUGAUAAUGAGUUUAUGUAUAAGUUUGCAAAGCGCUUAGCUCUUGACGCGAGGGAGUUAGGUGAUAGAUCACAUGUGAGCGUGGUGCUUAGAUGUUAUUUAUCUGCAAAUGUAUCCUAUUGGCCGAGUCGUGUGGUAGUUCGCGAUAGUGACAGCUUCGUUGAUUCUUAUAUAGUCCACCCUCCGUUGAUAGGACAGGCAGAACCGGUAUUGUGGAGUAAGUCAUGCGAUGUUCUGAUUUACUUUAUCAAUGUUCCUUAUACAUGAAUGAAGAGUCUUUUAUGCUAUAUAUGAUCUUGUAGAUAACUAGAGUAGAUUAUGACUUAGUAGUUAGUAGAUGACUUAGAAUCCAUUCUCUAGCUAAUCCGACAUCACCUACAUAUAUGAGGAGUAGUCUAUUUUCUAAUCGCUGUGCUCUUUAUCCCAUGAACUUAUACUUUAUUAUCAUUAUCUUUAUGGUUUACCCCCUGCUAAAGUUUGUGACUGUGUGACGAGUUUCUCAUUAGUAAUCAUGUUCUUGCAAGUUUAUCUUUAGUCUAUGCCUUGAUAGAUUUUGCCCCCUUUUAUUUAAUUCCAUCUUCCUUAGAUCCCCUAAGCAAAAUUAUAAAUAACGAUACCUGGAAUACUUAUCCUGGUGAAAUGCUACAAUGAGGUGUUUUAUCUGUGCGCUUGCGGAUAGAAUAGAUUAUUUUCUAGAGAGCCUUUACAUUUAUAAAUACCUUUGUACACUCUGGCGCCAUGCUAGGGAUGACAACCUAGUAUCUAAGUGGUGUUAGCUAGUGUCAACAAGCAUUUCUGGCGCCGUUGCCGGGGAAUCUAUAGGACUUAUAGAACUUAUGGAACUUAUAGGAAUUAUACGAGUCUCAGGAAUAAGUCAUAAAUAGGAACGGUAAGGGAAGCCAGAAAAUCAAUCAAGGUUAUUCAUAUAAAAUAUUAGACUAGACUAGAGAAAUAAUUGCAUAAAACAGCUACUAAGUGAGAAAUCAUAACAAGGCACCGCUGCUUUGGCAGGUUCACCGUGUUGUUUUUCUAUGUUUAUAUUUUUAUACAGGGUAUAACAGGAUUGACUUUGGGUACAUUCAACUCUUCAUCAUCAGAACCAAAGCAAUCUAGAGAAGAAGAAGCUAGCUACCAAUUGCUGAAGCUAUGGCACAAAAGACCUUGCAAGAAUUCUCUGCUCCAAGUCUUGACAACAUUCCAACCGGUCCAAGAUUUGCAGUAGAAGAAGGAAUACCUGAGUUUGAGCUCAAGUCAAGCCUCAUCAAUUUGGUACAAGCUACACAAUUCAGUGGAAAGGCACAUGAAGAUGCUAGUGCACACUUGCAGAAUUUCUUACAGAUUGGAAGCACAAUCCACAUCAAUGGAGUUGACAAAGACGUCAUACUGCUUCGCCUUUUUCCAUUCUCACUAGAAGGAAAAGCGAGGAAGUGGUUCUACACUCAUCAAGAUAACAUCAACAACUGGACGAACUUGUCAGAUGCCUUUCUAUCAAAGUUUUUCCCUAUAGGCAAAACAACUGCCUUAAGAGGAAAUAUUGUCAGUUUCCAACAGCAGAAGACAGAAGCCAUUUCAGAAGCAUGGGAGCAUUUUCAAGGAUACAUAUCAGAUUGUCCUCACCAUGGAAUGGCCACAUGGUUACUUAUGCAGACCUUCUACCAUGGAUUAACCCAGAAGGCUCGUGAGUGCCUAGAUGCAUCUGCUAAAGGAUCAUUCUUGGAGCUUACAACUGGAAAAGCAGAGAUACUUUUGGAUAAGAUAGCAGAAAAUCAAAGCUGGUUCCAAGAUAAAGCUCAACAAUGUCAUCAAACUGAAGAAAUACCAGAAGAAGUAAAUGCAUUAUCAAAGUGCUUGUUGGGUAUUCCCGCCUGUCACGCGGGUGACCCGAAUGAAUGAUGAAGUUAAACAAAGGCUAGAUACAAAUGAAUCAUCUCUAAAAGAUAUACACAAUAAAAUGGAUUUUCUACUAACUGCCUUCGAUGAGCAAAACACUCUUAAUAAAAGGGUAGAGCUGAAAUUAAUAAAGAUAGCUGCUGCACUGCCUGUUGCUACUAACAUUGAGCAGGUAAAGAAUAUAACUACUAGAGGAGGCAAAGCUACCAGAGAUCCACCAUACCCAAAAGAGAAACAAAGAACAUCAGCACCAGUGCAACCAGCAGUGAUAGAAGAAGAAAGCCCAGUUGAAGCAGAAGAUCUGCUACAACCACCAAGAACUGGAGAAAUGAGGAAAGAUUUUUACGACACCAACUAUUUGCCAUUUCCCAGAAGAAACAGAGGACUGCAGUCGGAUGAGCAGUUUGGUAAGUUUGUAGAGGUCAUUCAGAAAUUAUAUGUCAACAUACCUCUGCUCGAUGCCAUACAGGUACCUACAUAUGCAAAGUACAUCAGAGAUAUUCUUAACAAGAAGAGACCACUGCCCACCACUGAGGUUAUCAAGCUGACAGAAGAAUGUAGUGCGGCCAUCCUCAAUAAGCCACCAAAGAAGAAGGAAGAUCCAGGAUGCCCCACUAUUGAUUGCUCGAUCGGAAACCAACACUUCAACAAUGCACUUUGUGAUCUCGGAGCAAGUGUCAGUGUGAUGCCAGCAUCAGUCUACAAAAAGCUUGAGCAUGCAACUUUAGAACCAACAUCAAUGUGCCUACAACUAGCGGAUCAAUCGGUUCGACACCCGUUGGGCAUCGCCGAGAACAUUCAAGUCAAGAUCAGAGAUUUCCUGGUGCCAGUAGACUUCGUAGUACUGGACAUGAGUCCUGACUCGAAAGUAUCCAUCAUCCUUGGAAGGCCAUUUCUGAGCACUGCCAAUGCCCACAUCGAUGUCGGAAAAGGAGAAAUCAAGUUCAACAUAAACGGACAAGAAGAACACUUCACAUUCAAACCCAGACCACAGAGAGACUCUACAGUGAAGGAAGUUCAUGAAGAACCACUGGAGACACCAUCUCCAGAGGAAGGUAACUCAGAAGAUUAAAAGAUUUGGAGGUCCAGCUUGGGGGACCUAAAAAUCCCAAACCCUCAUCAGGAGGUAAAUCGGUAUUUAUCCGCAUUAUCAAUUUUCUCAUUCUUGCAUAAUUAAUUCUUGCAUUAGUCAUAGCAUUAUUAUAAUAAUCAAAAAGCCCCAUAUAAAUAAUAUUUGUGGUGUGUAACAACCCAUAUUUAUUAUUGUGGAGUUACAAAAAUAUUUUCCAUUAUCAUUUUCAUUAAGUUUCAAUUCUCAUAGAUUUUCCUGCAUUAUAUUGAUCUUCUAGAAGCAUGACCCACACUCUUUGGGUCCCACAUGUCAUACACUUCACCUCACAUACAUUCCAUCACAUAAUUUCAUCCACCAAUAUAUUUCCACUCACCUGACAUCUUUCCACCGUCCAACCACUACCAACACAAUAUUAUUCUGCGUGAGAUCAAAGCAAGGAAGCAAGUGGAGGAAGCACACCCAGGAUGGACACCAGGAGUGGGCGCCCACCCUGUCCCCUGCUCAGCUUAUAAAAGGCCACCUCCAGCUCCCCUUCUCUUCACACACACACUUCAGAAAACCACACAAGUCUCAGUUUCCCAAGGAGGAGCUUUUGUAGUGAAGAGAAGAGAGUAGAGAGAAAGAGGAGAGUGGAAGAGAAAGGUUGGGAGUUCUUUUGAGAGAGUGAUUGUCACCUAGCAAAUAGUGAUCCCGCUGUCCAAGCAGAAGUAAAAGUUGUUUAGGGGGGAGGCUCUACCAAAAUAGAAGCUUGUCUUGAACGGUUAACCCCUGGACUACUAACACUACGGACGGCUGACCACUAACAUUUUAUCUCACAUUUUCCACCAGUUGUGUUUUUGCCAACUUUUGUUUGCAGGAUGUUUAAGAAGGUGAAGAAUGCAGGGAAGGCUCUCAAGAACAUUGGUACAAGGAGUUCAUCCCGACACUCCUCACAGCCAUCAGAGAUGAGCGUCGACCCGACACCCACACAAGCUCCAUCAUCUUCAUCAGGUCAGCAAGUUAAGGUCCUUCUCAAGAUAGGAGACCUAGGACUGAAGACCCAAAGAGAGAAGGAAGUCUAUCAGCAACUGAAGAACAAAGAUUUCAUUCACACCCCUACUAUCGAUCCAAUCCUACUACGAGAAACAGGUAUGGACACUGAAUUUGACUUAAUUUUUCAAAUGAUGGGUUGGACAAAUUUUUGGAAUAUAACUGAGCUGGGUUCUCGUCUUCUCACCCUCGAAUUUCUUUGCACUUUACAAUACUAUGAGGGGGGAAUUGUUUUUCGGAUGUUUAAACAGGAAAUUAUGUUAUCUUGGAGAGAGCUGAGCGACCAUCUUGGUUUCUCUUCAAGAUGCAUCGUGAACAUUGACUCCGAUUUACCCAAUUUUGAGAGACACCAGUUUUGGAGAGAAAUAUCUAGAGAUAAUUUUUAUAGUCAAGCCCGAACCAGUGACAUGGAACACCCCACUCUUAGGAUGUUCCACAAAUGGCUUGGGUACAAUCUUUUCUAUCGUGACGAUAUUAGGAAAGUAAGAGUAGGAGAUUUACAACUUUUAUAUGCUGCUAUUAGUAAAGUACCUACUUCACCUGUUACACUAUUAGUUUCACAUUGGCUUAGUAUACCUAGUCUGCAGGGACCAGUAGGAUGUACUUCACUUAUCACUCGUCUAGCCACUAAUCUUCACUUACUAGAAAACUCAUCGUUGGACUUCAUAGAAGAAUUAAGAAUUUAUCAUGGCUAUGACACAUUUAGACAAGCUCGGAUGUUAAAGAAAGAGGGGAAUAUAAUGUAUAUGCUGUAUGAUGAUAAAGACAAGAUUCGGUUACCUAACCCGAACCUUGGCCUCUACGCUGUGCAAAACUUUUUGAUUGAGAUUGCAGCAACACCAGUAAACCAGAGAACUCCACAGCGAGUGGCAUCUGAAAGGAUAACCACCCACCGAGAACGCACUUGGUAUGGAGCUGACCCUGGACCAAAAGAAGCAGCGUACCUGCAUUAUUGCGAUUACAAUCCACGAGUCCUUCGAGACCCAUGGGCUCGACAUGCGCAACCACAAGAGCCAACAGAGGAGACAUGGCCGGAGAGCCAAGAUCACCAGUGGACAAACCCGCCUUUUCAUACGGGCAGGUACUCCACUGAUCCAUAUGGAGCUUCAGGAUCCAGACCUCCACCCCAAUUUGAUGCAGGACGAUACUCCGACGCCUCCUACGCCUUCACGAAUGACUAUUAUCAAGAGGCCGGUGCUUUCUUCACUCGUACCGACAACACCCUCCUCGACAUCCAGAACACGCAAGCAGAACAUGGAAGACUCCUGGAAGAGCAACAAAAAUGGAACCAGGACCAUGCCGCUGCAGUACAAGAACUGAGACAAGAUACAACAACAAUGAACGACAACAUCACAACCAUGAUGCGGUUCUGGAACAUCGGGUAAGACCGACGUCAACAUCCAGCUUGGGGGAGUUCCUCCAAAUUUAUCAAGUAAGUUUUUAUUUGCUCUUCUUAUUUAUUCUAUUCUGUCUUAGUAUUUAAUUUAUCUUAAAAGGAAAAACUUAGAAAACCAAAUAAAUAUUUUCUUGCUUUAAUUCACUACACUUUAUAAACAUGAAAACAAAAUAAAAAGAGUGUGUAGAUGAGUGUGCUUUAUUUCUCUGCUAAGUUUAAUCUCUAAAAAAAUAAAUAAAAAAAAAGACCAAAAAUAUGCAUGAUGGAAAUGAUGAACAGUUGCUCUGUUUGCUUACUUACAAGUACCUAGCUUUUAUAUUAGAAUUCUUCCGAGAAUUACUAAAACUGAAAUUACUAUCUUUGAAGCAUAAAACUAAAGUCUAGGUAAGAGAAAGGCAUGAUAUAAAGUUGAGCUACUGUUUAUCUUGUUCCUACUACACUAAGUUCUGGAGAUUUAUUUUGAAAACUUACAAAUCACAUGAUGAGUUCCUAGCAUAACAAACUACCUACCACAGCCAUACUUGCUAUAACAUCUUUUACUAUAUUUACAUUGAGUUUGAUCGAGCUGUGUUGACCCUUAGGAGCUUUUCAUGUGGUUAAAUUAAGAUAUUCACUUGCACACAUCUACCACAGCAUUCAUCAUCAUUCAUUAAAAUUGCUAAAAAUAUUUUCACUCACUGUCCCGAAUAUUGUUAUUCUCUCUCUAAAAAGAUUCAAUGCAGAAGAGGCAUGGGUUAUGCAAAAAUAUUCGAGGAAAUAAAAAGGGGCAAGUGCCCGGAACCUCAGAAAAGAAAGAAAAAGAGUGAGACGAGAGGUAAAAAUGGACAAGUGUCCGAAGUAGAAUUAGGGGUACAAAGAUGCUCACUUGAGCGGAAAAAAUGGACAAGUGUCCGACAGUAGAAUUAGGGGUAUCUACUACCCACCUGAAAAAAAAAGGAAAAGAAAAGAAAAAGAUAGCCCAUGUUCUCCCAAAGCAAAGAUCAAAGAAGAGGAGAGAUAGCAAUAUGAGGAGCAAUGAGAACUAAGUUUCAUUGUCACUUAUGCAUUUUCACCAUCACUAUCAUUUACUCCACCACACAUGCAAAUCUUGAUUUAAUUAUAUGCUGAGUUCCUUUGGAUCCGUGGCUCGAUUAGACAACAUAUGUAUGAGCUGUUUUUCACUCCUAUGAGCUCCACUUAAAUAUUCUAUUAGCUAUAGGUAAGUGAUAUCAUGGUAAGGAUCCACAAAUACCAUAUAUAGAGAGAAUUGAGAGAAUCAUUGCUGGGAACUCUGAGUUUUAUUUUAAAAACUUAUGAAAAACUCUAGAACAAAGGUGAAGUAUAGGCAGGAGAGAUAGUGCUUGACUUAACUAUUUUGUCUUUCGAUUACUUAAGAUUUAAGUGCAGGUACUACACUCCAUAACACUUCACUCUAAUCUGGAAGAAUUUUUAUGUAAAAGCAUGUGUGCCUGUCAGGAAAGAAAACAUCGAAGCAACUCCUGAUCCGUCUGAGUUUAGCUGUUUGCUCAGGGACGAGCAAAGGGUAAGCUUGGGGGAGUUUGUUGAUGGUCCUUAAGUACUAAAAUUAAUAAUCAAAUAAACAUGAAAAAGGAUCAAUAUGAAACAAACAUCUAGAAUUAGGGUUUUAUCUGACAGAAUUCCACAAGCUUUGGUGUUUAUCUAUUUCUGCAGGGGUUUAUCAGAAAAUAGGGAGAGAAGGCCCACAUGUCAUGUUUACAACGAGAUAAUUACGUGCCGCGCAAUUUUCCUCAAUCUAGAAGGAUCCAGAAGCCACGGGAACGAAUGGGACGCGAAUCGGGCUCGGGAGCUGGGCGGCCGCCCACCCCCCUUGGGCGCCCGCCCUGGCCAGGAAGCCAAUCAGAACUCUGCUUCGGGGCAAGGCUCCACCGACCUAAAGGAUCAAUCUAAACCAUACAAUCUAUGUCGGUUUGAUCCAAUGGCCCACGUUCACUUGAGGGGACUAUAAAACCAGACCCCCUGGCCCCUGGAGGAGAGAGGAGAAAUCAUUAUUCAGAGGUAGCCAUCAAAGUUAGGGUUUAGAGCUUCUCUCCCACAGAGAAUUAGAAUUAGCUACUCCCUAAUCCUUCAAGUUUAGAGGUUUGGUUAGAUAGCAAUUAGAGAAGUAGAGCACUACGCUCUGGAUUCGGAUCUUCGGUAAUAAAGAUUGGUAUUAUUCAUAUCUUUCUCUAAUUCUAUUUUUCUAAUUGCAUUAUGUCUCUAAUUAUUAUGUUCUUAGUUUGCUCUAGUUCUAUAUUUGAUAUAGUUCUAAUUGAUAAUGAGUUUAUGUAUAAGUUUGCAAAGCGCUUAGCUCUUGACGCGAGGGAGUUAGGUGAUAGAUCACAUGUGAGCGUGGUGCUUAGAUGUUAUUUAUCUGCAAAUGUAUCCUAUUGGCCGAGUCGUGUGGUAGUUCGCGAUAGUGACAGCUUCGUUGAUUCUUAUAUAGUCCACCCUCC